Molecule: long non-coding RNA, 500 nt
Filed under: Trifolium pratense (red clover)
Lineage: Eukaryota; Viridiplantae; Streptophyta; Magnoliopsida; Fabales; Fabaceae
Description: long non-coding RNA (TPRA_LNC007715)
Source: RNAcentral
CAAAUCAAUUUAUUGAAUUAUUAAAGAAAUUGGGGCUUAGGGUUGAGAGAUUUGCGUGAGAUUGGGAUGAAGGAGGUGAAAAAUAGAAGACCUUACCUUGUUCCACUUGAGCUUAGGAACCUAAGAAGUGCAUUGCAUGGUAGAUUUGGGAUUAAUUUGAGGUUGAGAAGAAAAUGGGUUGAAGGCAAUUGUUGUUGUUGUUGCUGCGUGGAGGGUAAGGAGAGUAGGGAGAGAGGUUGCUGAUUUAUUUCUUUUCUUGAGUCUCGUGAGAAGAAGAGGAAGUGGGGAGAGUUUUACUGACUUUUUGUUUUCUCUCUCUCCAAUUUCACUUAAACAGCCAAAAAUCAUUUUACACAUUUGUCUCUCAGCUUGUCAUAACUACUAAUUGUACCCCUUUUUCUUAACACCAAACAUACUUGUAUUUUUCCUUAAAAAUUUCUUCUGAUUCAUCCAAUAAACCUCAUUCUUAUUUCAAUUUGGGGUUUCUAAUUAAUACUAUU